GAUGAACGCUAGCUACAGGCUUAACACAUGCAAGUCGAGGGGUAACAAGAGGAAAGCUUGCUUUCCUUGUUGACGACCGGCGCACGGGUGAGUAACGCGUAUCCAACCUGCCUAUAACUAGGGAAUAACCUUGCGAAAGUAAGACUAAUACCCUAUGAUUUCCUUUGAUGACAUCAGAUUAGGAAUAAAGAUUUAUCGGUUAUAGAUGGGGAUGCGUCUGAUUAGCUUGUUGGCGGGGUAACGGCCCACCAAGGCAACGAUCAGUAGGGGUUCUGAAAGGAAGGUCCCCCACAUUGGAACUGACGCACGGUCCAAACUCCUACGGGAGGCAGCAGGGAGGAAUAUUGGUCAAUGGGCGGAAGCCUGAACCAGCCAAGUAGCGUGCAGGAUGACGGCCCUAUGUGUUGUAAACUGCUUUUAUACAGGAAUAAAGUUAGCCACGUGUGGUUAUUUGUAGGUACUGUAUGAAUAAGGACCGGCUAAUUCCGUGCCAGCCGCCGCGGUAA
This 506-nucleotide ribosomal RNA is filed under the name uncultured bacterium. RNAcentral's name for it is "partial 16S ribosomal RNA". It matches the Rfam family "Bacterial small subunit ribosomal RNA", at positions 28 to 523 of the family's 1533-position model. The record is from RNAcentral.